AAAAAGCUAAAAUAAAACUUAAAGGCAGAAGCCCUUAAACUUUACCCAACACAAUUUAAAACUUAUCUCUGUNUUCAGCUGGGCGGCAUAAGAUUCNCACAUCUUAAAAUNUUAAUAAAUUUUAUCAUACCCAGAAUUUCUGAAAAUUAAAUAAGCUACUUCAGGGAUAACAGCGUAAUCCAUUUCGAAAGACCUAUCGACAAAAGUGAUUGCGACCUCGAUGUUGGAUUGU
This 232-nucleotide ribosomal RNA is filed under the name Tityus funestus. Its description in RNAcentral is "partial 16S ribosomal RNA". Lineage: Eukaryota; Metazoa; Arthropoda; Arachnida; Scorpiones; Buthidae. The record is from RNAcentral.